CCUACGGGAGGCUGCAGUGGGGAAUCUUCGGCAAUGGGCGAAAGCCUGACCGAGCGAUGCCGCGUGCGGGAUGAAGGCCCUCGGGUUGUAAACCGCUGUCGUAGGGGAGGAAGGUUCCGUGAAGAGCGGAAUUUGACCUAUCCUAGGAGGAAGUACGGGCUAAGUUCGUGCCAGCAGCCGCGGUAACACGAACCGUACGAACGUUAUUCGGAAUUACUGGGCUUAAAGGGUUUGUAGGCGGCCUUGUAAGUCAGGUGUGAAAGCCCUCGGCUCAACCGAGGAACAGCGCUUGAUACUGCAAGGCUUGAGGGAGACAGGGGUAAGCGGAACUGAUGGUGGAGCGGUGAAAUGCGUUGAUAUCAUCAGGAACACCGGUGGCGAAAGCGGCUUACUGGGUCUCUUCUGACGCUGAGGCACGAAAGCUAGGGUAGCGAACGGGAUUAGAUACCCUGGUAGUC
RNAcentral lists this ribosomal RNA (458 nucleotides) under uncultured Planctomycetaceae bacterium. RNAcentral describes it as "bacterial SSU rRNA". It matches the Rfam family "Bacterial small subunit ribosomal RNA", at positions 338 to 795 of the family's 1533-position model. Lineage: Bacteria; Pseudomonadati; Planctomycetota; Planctomycetia; Planctomycetales; Planctomycetaceae. The record is from RNAcentral.